UACGAGUACCCCGAGCGUUAUCCGGAAUUAUUGGGCGUAAAGGGUGAGUAGGUUGUCAUGAUAGUCGGAUGUUAAAGUCCUCGGGCUUAACCUGAGGAAUGCAUUCGAAACGUCAUAACUAGAAUAUGUGAGAGGUCUGUGGAACUCUAUGUGUAGGGGUGAAAUCCGUUGAUAUAUAGGGGAACACCAAAAGCGAAGGCAGCAGACUGGCACAUUAUUGACACUGAAUCACGAAAGCGUGGGUAGCGAAUGGG
This 254-nucleotide ribosomal RNA is filed under the name uncultured prokaryote. RNAcentral's name for it is "partial 16S ribosomal RNA". It matches the Rfam family "Bacterial small subunit ribosomal RNA", at positions 524 to 776 of the family's 1533-position model. The record is from RNAcentral.